This 93-nucleotide transfer RNA is filed under the name Desulforamulus reducens MI-1. RNAcentral's name for it is "Desulfotomaculum reducens MI-1 Selenocysteine transfer RNA". It matches the Rfam family "Selenocysteine transfer RNA". The record is from Rfam by way of RNAcentral. Lineage: Bacteria; Bacillati; Bacillota; Clostridia; Eubacteriales; Peptococcaceae.
GGGGAGAACGGGGGUGGUCCCCCCUAUGGGCUGCAAACCCAUGAGCCAGUCUGCGAUCCAGGUUGGAGUCCGGUUCAAUUCCGACUUCUCCCC